Molecule: ribosomal RNA, 194 nt
Filed under: uncultured bacterium
Lineage: Bacteria
Description: partial 16S ribosomal RNA
Rfam family: Bacterial small subunit ribosomal RNA
Source: RNAcentral
AUUCCUACGGGAGGCAGCAGUAGGGAAUAUUGGACAAUGGGCGAAAGCCUGAUCCAGCCAUGCCGCGUGGUAGAUGAAGGCCCUCUGGGUUGUAAAUACCUUUUAUCUGGGAAGAAAUAUCUCAUUCUUGAGAAACUGACGGUACCAGAUGAAUAAGCACCGGCUAACUCCGUGCCAGCAGCCGCGGUAAUAAU